AACGAACGCUGGCGGCAUGCCUAACACAUGCAAGUCGAACGAGACCUUCGGGUCUAGUGGCGCACGGGUGCGUAACGCGUGGGAAUCUGCCCUUAGGUUCGGAAUAACUCCCCGAAAGGGGUGCUAAUACCGGAUAAUGUCUUCGAACCAAAGAUUUAUCGCCUUUGGAUGGGCCCGCGUUGGAUUAGCUAGUUGGUAGGGUAAAAGCCUACCAAGGCGACGAUCCAUAGCUGGUCUGAGAGGAUGAUCAGCCACACUGGGACUGAGACACGGCCCAGACCUCUAACGGGGGGAGGAAGGGGGAAAUAGUGAAAAGGGGGAAAAGGCUUAACCAAGAAAGGCCGCGGGAUGAAUAAGGCCUUAGGGUUUAAAAACUCUUUUCACCCGGGAGAAAAAUGAAAGUACGGGAAAAAAAAGCCCCGGCAACCCCCGUC
Molecule: ribosomal RNA, 434 nt
Filed under: uncultured bacterium
Lineage: Bacteria
Description: partial 16S ribosomal RNA
Rfam family: Bacterial small subunit ribosomal RNA
Source: RNAcentral